Molecule: unclassified non-coding RNA, 425 nt
Filed under: soil metagenome
Description: partial contains 5.8S ribosomal RNA, internal transcribed spacer 2, and large subunit ribosomal RNA
Rfam family: 5.8S ribosomal RNA (bases 1-120)
Source: RNAcentral
GAUGAAGAACGUAGCGAAAUGCGAUAAGUAGUGUGAAUUGCAGAAUUCCGUGAAUCAUCGAAUCUUUGAACGCACAUUGCGCCUUCUGGUAUUCCGGAAGGCAUGCCUGUUCGAGAGUCAUUAACAACCGUUUCGAUCCCUUUCUUUCAGAAAUUACAAAGAGGAAAAGGGUUUGGUUAUGGUGGAGGAGGGAAAGGGAGCGUUUAGCCUGUAAAAAAAGAGGCUGUGUUCCGCCUCCCCCCAAAAAUUGUACAGGCGGUCGUGUGCGCCCACGCAUCGAGGUGUUGUAAAAGCUGCCACGGCACUUUUCACCUGUGCAGUGCGAGAUUGGCCAGCCGGUUUAAAAACCCCUCCAAACAAUCAAAGGUUGACCUCGGAUCAGGUAGGGAUACCCGCUGAACUUAAGCAUAUCAAUAAGCGGAGGA